RNAcentral lists this ribosomal RNA (508 nucleotides) under uncultured bacterium. RNAcentral's name for it is "partial 16S ribosomal RNA". It matches the Rfam family "Bacterial small subunit ribosomal RNA", at positions 28 to 523 of the family's 1533-position model. The record is from RNAcentral.
GAUGAACGCUAGCUACAGGCUUAACACGUGCAAGUCGAGGGGAAACGAUAUUGGAAGCUUGCUUCCGAUAGGCGUCGACCGGCGCACGGGUGAGUAACGCGUAUCCAACCUGCCCAUCACUUGGGGAUAACCUUGCGAAAGUAAGACUAAUACCCAAUGACGUCUCUAGAAGAUAUCUGAAGGUGAUUAAAGAUUUAUCGGUGAUGGAUGGGGAUGCGUCUGAUUAGCUUGUUGGCUGGGUAACGGCACACCAAGGCGACGAGCAGUAGGGGUUCUGAGAGGAAGGUCCCCCACAUUGGAACUGAGACACGGUCCAAACUCCUACGGGAGGCAGCAGUGAGGAAUAUUGGUCAAUGGACGAGAGUCUGAACCAGCCAAGUAGCGUGCAGGAUGACGGCCCUAUGGGUUGUAAACUGCUUUUAUAAGGGAAUAAAGUGAGAGUCGUGACUCUUUUUGCAUGUACCUUAUGAAUAAGGACCGGCUAAUUCCGUGCCAGCCGCCGCUGUAA